AGAAUAGUAUUUUAAUUAAAAAGUCUAACCUGCACUUAGAAAAUGUUAGUACCUAUUCU
This 59-nucleotide transfer RNA is filed under the name Alectorobius rioplatensis. Its description in RNAcentral is "tRNA-Ala". Lineage: Eukaryota; Metazoa; Arthropoda; Arachnida; Ixodida; Argasidae. The record is from RNAcentral.